UUAGGAAUUUUGGGCAAUGGGCGGAAGCCUGACCCAGCAACGCCGCGUGGGUGAUGAAGGCCCUCGGGUCGUAAAGCCCUUUUCCCAGGGAAGAUGGUGACGGUACCUGGGGAAUCAGCCCCGGCUAACUACGUGCCAGCAGCCGCGGUAAUACGUAGGGGGCAAGCGUUGUCCGGAUUUAUUGGGCGUAAAGCGCUCGCAGGUGGUCCGUCGCGUCGUGCGUGAAAUACCCCGGCUCAACUGGGGGGGGUCGUGCGAUACGGGCGGACUGGAGGCCAGUAGGGGGAUGCGGAAUUCCGGGUGUAGUGGUGGAAUGCGUAGAGAUCCGGAGGAACACCAGCGGCGAAGGCGGCAUCCUGGACUGGUCCUGACACUCAGGAGCGAAAGCGUGGGGAGCGAU
RNAcentral lists this ribosomal RNA (400 nucleotides) under uncultured bacterium. RNAcentral describes it as "bacterial SSU rRNA". It matches the Rfam family "Bacterial small subunit ribosomal RNA", at positions 355 to 772 of the family's 1533-position model. The record is from RNAcentral.